This 699-nucleotide long non-coding RNA is filed under the name Fukomys damarensis (Damara mole-rat). Its description in RNAcentral is "lncRNA (ENSFDAG00000029593.1)". The record is from RNAcentral. Lineage: Eukaryota; Metazoa; Chordata; Mammalia; Rodentia; Bathyergidae.
GCCGUGAACCACAUCUACCCUCUACUGAGCACGUUGAAGCCCGUCGUGGGUUGUUUUAACCCUCCAGCCCUGAAGAGGACCGGAAAUAAUCCCUCCGAUCUAAUGAACUGUUCUUGCUGCUCCCCAGUCCUUCUCAGUUUCUAGUGACGGCUAUUCUGUCCUGCUCUUCUCCAAGACUGACCUAUUUCCACUAAUGAGUAACGACACUGGGAUCCGCGUUUCUGUGUCUUCACAUAACGACCUCCAGUCCCUUCUGCGUUGCCUUAGAAACAGGAUGUUUACAAUGACAGCACAGUGUAAGUUUCCCACUUGCCUGUUACCCCUCCCCACUCCCUCAAGGACAGAUGGCCGACCCCAUAUCCCAGCUACUGGGAAUUGUGGAAGCGAACGCCUCUGGGCUCUCAGUAGUGCAUUAAGGGAGAAUGGUGGAAGCGAACAGCUGCUGUGCUCUCACAAACUGGGGCAGCCUGGGCUACUGAGGCCAUGCAGCCCGGCCGACAUCAAUCAGCAAUGAAGAAACCACAGACACUGUGCUUUGAGUGCUUCAUACGUAAACCCAGUGCACCUACCACUCAGGUGUCCUCCAUCCCUCUAAAUGGAAAAUACUCUACUGCUAAAGCUACUUCAUAUGACUAGGAAAGCAAAUAUUACAACAAUGUGCAGACAUCACAGUAAAGACAAAAGAAAGUACACAUAAUC